RNAcentral lists this ribosomal RNA (443 nucleotides) under uncultured bacterium. RNAcentral's name for it is "partial 16S ribosomal RNA". It matches the Rfam family "Bacterial small subunit ribosomal RNA", at positions 338 to 795 of the family's 1533-position model. The record is from RNAcentral.
CCUACGGGAGGCAGCAGUGGGGAAUAUUGGGCAAUGGGCGCAAGCCUGACCCAGCAACGCCGCGUGAAGGAAGAAGGCUUUCGGGUUGUAAACUUCUUUUGUCAGGGACGAAGCAAGUGGCGGUACCUGACGAAUAAGCCACGGCUAACUACGUGCCAGCAGCCGCGGUAAUACGUAGGCGGCAAGCGUUAUCCGGAUUUACUUGGUGUAAAGGGCGUGUAGGCGGGACUGCAAGUCAGAUGUGAAAACCACGGGCUCAACCUGUGGCCUGCAGUUGAAACUGUAGUGCUUGAGUACUGGAGAGGCAGACGGAAUUCCUAGUGUAGCGGUGAAAUGCGUAGAUAUUAGGAGGAACACCAGUGGCGAAGGCGGUCUGCUGGACAGCAACUGACGCUGAGGCGCGAAAGCGUGGGGAGCAAACAGGAUUAGAUACCCCAGUAGUC